This 1024-nucleotide ribosomal RNA is filed under the name Neotorrubiella chinghridicola. Its description in RNAcentral is "SSU rRNA". It matches the Rfam family "Eukaryotic small subunit ribosomal RNA", at positions 87 to 1121 of the family's 1831-position model. Lineage: Eukaryota; Fungi; Ascomycota; Sordariomycetes; Hypocreales; Cordycipitaceae. The record is from RNAcentral.
CUGCGAAUGGCUCAUUAUAUAAGUUAUCGUUUAUUUGAUAGUACCCCUACUACUUGGAUAACCGUGGUAAUUCUAGAGCUAAUACAUGCUAAAAAUCCCGACUUCAGAAGGGAUGUAUUUAUUAGAUUAAAAACCAAUGCCCUCUGGGCUCCCUGGUGAUUCACAAUAACUUUUCGAAUCGCAUGGCCUUGCGCCGGCGAUGGUUCAUUCAAAUUUCUUCCCUAUCAACUUUCGAUGUUUGGGUAUUGGCCAAACAUGGUCGCAACGGGUAACGGAGGGUUAGGGCUCGACCCCGGAGAAGGAGCCUGAGAAACGGCUACUACAUCCAAGGAAGGCAGCAGGCGCGCAAAUUACCCAAUCCCGACUCGGGGAGGUAGUGACAAUAAAUACUGAUACAGGGCUCUUUUGGGUCUUGUAAUUGGAAUGAGUACAAUUUAAAUCCCUUAACGAGGAACAAUUAGAGGGCAAGUCUGGUGCCAGCAGCCGCGGUAAUUCCAGCUCUAAUAGCGUAUAUUAAAGUUGUUGUGGUUAAAAAGCUCGUAGUUGAACCUUGGGCCUGGCUGGCCGGUCCGCCUCACCGCGUGUACUGGUCCGGCCGGGCCUUUCCUUCUGUGGAACCUCAUGCUCUUCACUGGGCGUGGCGGGGAAACAGGACUUUUACUUUGAAAAAAUUAGAGUGCUCCAGGCAGGCCUAUGCUCGAAUACAUUAGCAUGGAAUAAUAAAAUAGGACGUGUGGUUCUAUUUUGUUGGUUUCUAGGACCGCCGUAAUGAUUAAUAGGGACAGUCGGGGGCAUCAGUAUUCAAUUGUCAGAGGUGAAAUUCUUGGAUUUAUUGAAGACUAACUACUGCGAAAGCAUUUGCCAAGGAUGUUUUCAUUAAUCAGGAACGAAAGUUAGGGGAUCGAAGACGAUCAGAUACCGUCGUAGUCUUAACCAUAAACUAUGCCGACUAGGGAUCGGACGAUGUUAUUUUUUGACGCGUUCGGCACCUUACGAGAAAUCAAAGUGCUUGGGCUCCAGGGGG